UGGGGAAUAUUGCACAAUGGAGGGAACUCUGAUGCAGCGACGCCGCGUGAACGAAGAAGGCUUUCGCGUCGUAAAGUUCUUUUAUAUGGGAAGAUAAUGACGGUACCAUAAGAAAAAGCCCCGGCUAACUACGUGCCAGCAGCCGCGGUAAUACGUAGGGGGCUAGCGUUGUCCGGAAUCACUGGGCGUAAAGGGUUCGCAGGCGGAAAUGCAAGUCAGGUGUAAAAGGCAGUAGCUUAACUACUGUAAGCAUUUGAAACUGCAUAUCGUGAGAAGAGUAGAGGUAAGUGGAAUUUUUAGUGUAGCGGUGAAAUGCGUAGAUAUUAAAAAGAAUACCGGUGGCGAAGGCGACUUACUGGGCUCAUUCUGACGCUGAGGAACGAAAGCGUGGGUAGCAAACAGG
RNAcentral lists this ribosomal RNA (403 nucleotides) under bacterium. RNAcentral describes it as "partial 16S ribosomal RNA". It matches the Rfam family "Bacterial small subunit ribosomal RNA", at positions 355 to 776 of the family's 1533-position model. The record is from RNAcentral.